This is a ribosomal RNA of 124 nucleotides. It matches the Rfam family "Bacterial small subunit ribosomal RNA", at positions 1 to 115 of the family's 1533-position model.
UUGAAUUGAAGAGUUUGAUCAUGGCUCAGAUUGAACGCUGGCGGCAGGCUUAACACAUGCAAGUCGAACGGUAGCAGGAGAAAGCUUGCUUUCUUGCUGACGAGUGGCGGACGGGUGAGUAAUG